GUCUAUGGCCAUACCAGCCUGAAUGCACCCAAUCUCGUCUGAUCUUGGAAGCUAAGCAGGGUCGGGCCUGGUUAGUACUUGGAUGGGAGACCGCCUGGAGAAGACGGGUGCUGUAGGCU
Molecule: ribosomal RNA, 119 nt
Organism: Cavia aperea (Brazilian guinea pig)
Lineage: Eukaryota; Metazoa; Chordata; Mammalia; Rodentia; Caviidae
Source: Ensembl